GACGAACGCUGGCGGCGUGCUUAACACAUGCAAGUCGAACGGUGAAAGCGGAGCUUGCUACGCUGGAUCAGUGGCGAGCGGGUGAGUAACACGUGGGCAACCUGCCCCUGACUUCGGGAUAACUCCUCGAAAGAGGUGCUAAUACCGGAUACGAAUCCUGCAGGCAUCUGCGGGAUUGGAAAGUUUUUCGGUUUGGGAUGGGCCCGCGGCCUAGCAGCUUGUUGGUGAGGUAACGGCUCACCAAGGCUACGACGGGUAACCGGCCUGAGAGGGGGACCGGUCACACUGGGACUGAGCCACGGCCCAGACUCCUACGGUAGGCAGCAGUGGGGAAUAUUUCGCAAUGGGCGAAAGCCUGACGCAGCGACGCCGCGUGAGGGAUGAAGGUCUUCGGAUCGUAAACCUCUUUCAGUAGGGACGAAGCGAAAGUGACGGUACCUAAAGAAGAAGCACCGGCUAACUACGUGCCAGCCGCCGCUGUAA
This 483-nucleotide ribosomal RNA is filed under the name uncultured bacterium. RNAcentral describes it as "partial 16S ribosomal RNA". It matches the Rfam family "Bacterial small subunit ribosomal RNA", at positions 28 to 523 of the family's 1533-position model. The record is from RNAcentral.